AUCAGUAAUUUAUUUUUUCACCAAACAGAAAAAAACACUUCAUGCAAAUAAAUAUAAAAAAGGAAUUUAAAUACGGCAUUUCAGGGCGAAAGGAAUCGCGAAAAACCAAAACUGGUUAACGAGCAGCGACACCCGUGAAUUAAUUUAACAGAAAUAUAAACAGGAGAGAGAAAGAAGUCAAACAUUAUAUCAUGAGAAAAAAAAAGACAGCAAAAUUCAAACCAAAUACGUACAACACUCCGAGCACCGUCAGUAAUGUAACCAUGGAAACGACAUUUCAAAGAUAUGGCCACACAGAGUACGGUGCCGGUAACCAUGGACUUUGUUAAGUUCACCUUCAAAUAGAGAAUGAGGUUGAGGUGAGUAAGAGGUGGUGCUGGAGUCAUUACAAAGUCCAAGAAGAAUUGAGAAUUAAAUGCAAAAGCAAUCCAAUAAGUUAAAAAGCAAGAUAGCAUGAAUAACAGGUAAGAAAAUAUUUAAAAGAAAAAAACACACAAAUUCUUCCGGCAGGAUAAGAGUUAUUAUUAAGAUAGCUCACCAACCUACCUAGCGUAUGCAAUACAUAGCCAUACCGGUUUUAAAAAAUAAUAUUUGAUCAAUCAAAUAGAAGAUGAUUCAAAUAUUAAUCAACAGCAGCAAUAAAUGGAUUUUGAGUUUUUAGCUCCAUCUAUAUGUUCUUAUGAAGACUCUUAGUCUUACGAAAUAUAUUAUCUAUAAAAGCAAUUGGUACAUGGUUCAAAAAUGUGUAAGGCGAGUUAUACGGUUAUAUCAAUAUAUAAAAUAACAAUAAUUGAGAAAAUAGCAUACCAACAUUUGAUACGAAAACAUUAAAUAACAGAUUCAAAAACCCAACUACAACUGUUAGGAUCUGUGGAUCAGAUCGAGGAUUCGUGGCAAUAUCAAGACUGAAUGCUGACAACACAUCAACUCAAGGUCCUGGCAGGAGACAGAGUUUACUUUGUCUUGGAGCGUAUUCAAAUCUUUUGAACUGUCAAGCAAACAGGCGUCGUCAGCGAAAAGUUUGGUCAGGAAGUUGGAGGAGGACGACAGAUCAUUUAUUGCGACGAGGAAAGCAAGCGGUCCCAAUACAGAACCUUGAGGAAUUCCACAGUGGAUGGGGAGCAUCGCGGACCUAUUGGAAUCCACUUCGACAAAUUGUUGUCGACCGAACAGGUUCGCUAUAAUUUGGAAGACCUCUGAAGGUGACGUAGGUUCAAGAAAAAAUGAAUUUUGCAGGGGAGUACCCAAGAAGUCGGUAAAUGAGACUGAGCUUUGCGGGAGAUCAUCGGCAAGUUUCUUCCCUACCGUUGAAAAGAAUUUAUUGAAUUCACUAGCAAUCAGGACUGGGUCAGUCACAGUGGUUCGAUUUUUGAGCUUCAAUUCUGAGAUGGAGAUGGAAUUUUUGGAUUGUAUCUUAAUGAUGUCAUUGAUCGUUUUCCACGUGCGUUUAGCAUCACCUCGGUUGGUCUCAAGGACAUUGCGAUAAAACAGUUCUUUAGAUUUCCUUUGCAAAUGUACUAACAUAUUUCUAUACUUUUUGAAGUAGACACGCUGGGAUGUAUUGCCCCUUAAAAAUUUAUUUUCGAACAUAUUAUUUUUGUGUUUGAUGGACUUCCUAAUUCCCCUAGUGAUCCAGGGUUUGGAGUAAAGUUUGUUUUCUCUGCGUGAAAGGGGUCGUAAAGGCGCAUGUCUGUUAAUUAACCAUUUUAGGCGACCAAGGAAUGUAUCAAAAGAGUAAUUGAAAUUUUCUCUACAAAAGGUAACACCCACAUAGUUGCUACACAUUGACUCAACAUCGGAUCUAAAAGAAUCGUUACCAAAUUUAGACAUAUCGCGCUUCAUGCGAGUAUUGGUCUUGAUGCUUAUAUCUACACCUGAUAUUGUGCACAUUACAGGAAAAUGGUCGGUCAAGUCGCUUAU
Molecule: non-coding RNA, 1920 nt
Organism: Styela clava
Lineage: Eukaryota; Metazoa; Chordata; Ascidiacea; Stolidobranchia; Styelidae
Source: RefSeq, a predicted model, not a curated record